Long non-coding RNA from Triticum aestivum (bread wheat), 1751 nucleotides. RefSeq lists it as uncharacterized. The transcript has 4 exons. The record is from RefSeq and is a predicted model, not a curated record. NCBI's taxonomy places the organism in Eukaryota, Viridiplantae, Streptophyta, Magnoliopsida, Poales, Poaceae.
UUCCAGUCAGCGCGGCCUUCCAUCCCGCCGCUGUGCCGACCGCCGAGGUGCCGGCCGGACGGAGGAGGACGGCGGCGGGGAAGCACGCAGCUGCGCAGCGACCGCGGGAGGUUUCAGCGAUCGGCCGCAUUGCUGCGGCAGGAGGAGCAGCGCGGGCUUCCGGCGACAAGGCUCCGUCGCGCGAACCAAGACGCGGACUCGACGGGAUUCCGGCGUCAGAAGCAGCGGCUGGGGCCACGCGGCGACUCCGGGACGCCGCUGCCCGAUUCCGGCGCGAAGGCUACGUCGCGCGAAUCACGGCGGCCUUGACCAAGAAGGAGGGGUUCGUGCCGCGCGGCGGCCGGUGCUGGUGAGUUUGGGUCGGUACGUCGCGACGGCGGCGAGCCUGCUCGGCGGCCCACGGUUGGACCUUGGAGCCGCGCGAAGAGAAGGGGAUCCACUCCAAACCCAGCACAGUUCUCUGUGAUGGUGUGGUGGAAAUCAAAGCUACAUGAGGUGAGGUUGAAGUAGCUGUUCUGGCUGCUCGCAGUGCAGUCUUCCCCAAUGCCGAAGGGGUAUGGGAUGGGCACUGCUCCGCACUUGUCAGGGCAGCCUGGCAACGGCAUGGAGCGGUCGGAUGAGGCUCCGGCCUCUGCUGCCAUUGCUGGAAAGGAGAUGCAUACUAUGGAAACUAGCAGGGCUGCUGAUGCUCCUGGCAUGACUGGAUGCCAACAACCCAGUUAAAUCAGAAAUCAGAUGGUUUGGUGUUGGUGGUAACGUGAAGGAGGAUGAAUCAUCGUAGAUUGGCUGGUUGAAGCCUACACAUUAAAAAAAAUCAACAAGGUGAGAACACCACGAUUCCAACCUUUAUGUAUUAGAGAAAAACAAUUAUUUAGCAUACACAUACGCUCUUGUGCUGGAUGGGGACUUUUAUUUAGGUCAGCUGGAUCAUAUCAUCAUUCAUGUAUUGAGAAGCAUGAGAAAACCAGGAGUUAGUGGUGAAUUUUCUUGAUUCGACAAUGUGCUGGCUUGCAUUCUCAGAGGCUGGUCAGCUGGAGCAUGACAACACUCAUUGUAUUGACUAUUGAAGAGCAUGAGGAGACGAGAGCAGCGGUGCAGCACGGAGCAGUGCUGACACCUCCGCAGGCUGCGCCUUCUGGGGCCGGUCCUCGAGCUCCGCCUAGGAAAUCCAGUUGUUGCAUAGUAUGUAUAGUUCCUGAUGAUUGAUUAUUAUUGAUUGGUUGCAAUGGCUAUUGUGUGGUCGAGGCAUUUGGAGGAGAUAAUUUUUGUUGGGGCUUGCCAGGCGCUUGGGUUGGGUUGCUCAUGUACUCUAAGUAGAUCGUUCCUGACAGUAGCAGUUUGCUGUUGUUUGCUAGUUGAAGUAGGAGUUGCUUUUGUAGUAGCAGUUAUAGAUCUAAGUAACCUUGCUGGCCUUGUUGUGCCCGGCAAAACAAUCUACGAAUAUUAUGAAUGAAUGAAUGGAUGGAUGGUUUCAUGGUGCAUCAAGAUGGAACUGAUUGUUUUAACUUUUUUCUCUCUGUGCCCCUCGUCUUCUCGUUGGAACAUCGUAAUAAAUACUCCCUCUGUCCCAAAAUAUAAGAACGUUUUUAACACUAUACUAGUGUAAAAAAAACGUUCUUAUACUAUGGGACGGAGGCAGUAGUACAGUAUGGUUCUUAUUCACUCAGAGGUACCAAAUCUGAGGUGAUCUUUUCAGGCUGUGGGAAAGAGCUGUUCAGUUAACUGAAUGCUGUCUAGAGCUGUUGUUGCAG